ACUGUUGUACCUCAGCGACAGAGCACAUGCUUUGCAUGCAAAAGGCUCCAGGUUCAGUCCCUGGCAGACAGUA
Molecule: non-coding RNA, 73 nt
Organism: Podarcis lilfordi (Lilford's wall lizard)
Lineage: Eukaryota; Metazoa; Chordata; Lepidosauria; Squamata; Lacertidae
Source: the annotation of a GenBank genome assembly